Molecule: long non-coding RNA, 213 nt
Filed under: Setaria italica (foxtail millet)
Lineage: Eukaryota; Viridiplantae; Streptophyta; Magnoliopsida; Poales; Poaceae
Description: long non-coding RNA (SITA_LNC006997)
Source: RNAcentral
GAGAACCGAUGACGUGGAUCCAUUAAUCAGCCCACGUGGCAUUAAACCACCGUCAUAUGCAAAACCGGUUUUGAUUAGAGGCAAAAGGUGUAUUGUGCAUUAGUUUUGGAAAUCGGAAGGGUUAAAUAAACGGUCUGAUAGUUUAGGCGGUUAUUCGAACUUUGUUCAUAGUUCAUGGUAGUAAUUUGAAUUUUUUCCUUAGCAAAAAGAAUA